UGAGCGUCGUGGGCUCCGAGAGGGACGCGGGCGGAGGGCAAAGUGGGUUCAUGAUAUGAAUUGUAAAAUUGGCGACUGCGUAAUGUAAAACACUUAACAAUUGCUUAGAUUUCCUUUGGGAAAUAACUUGCUUUUAAAUUGUAAACAAAUUACAAACAAACUGCUAGUGCUUCUGGGUCUUCUUACCGAAAUGGCUGAUUCAGGAGGAUGCGGGGAGCGUCAGAUCAGGAUUGCUGAAGGAGAGCUGAGAAUGAAACCACCAUUUAUACAGCACUCAGAAUGCUCCAGGCAGUGUAAUCUCAUUCCAUCUUCAUUCAUGACUCCAGACAGGUAUUGUUAUUCAUUGUUUAUACUUGAGAAAGCAGAUUCAGAGAAGUUAAAGUAUCUACCACAAGGUACGAAAGUAGUAAGUAGUAAUGCCAGAGUACAAGCCUAGGUCUGCUUCCAAAUUUCGUGGUUUCGGAUUUAGUGCCUUCAUUGUGUUUCACCUACAGGUUAAGAAGUUGUUGGUAAGCAAGAAAAU
This 523-nucleotide long non-coding RNA is filed under the name Pan troglodytes (chimpanzee). RNAcentral describes it as "long non-coding RNA NONPTRT014711". Lineage: Eukaryota; Metazoa; Chordata; Mammalia; Primates; Hominidae. The record is from RNAcentral.